RNAcentral lists this long non-coding RNA (654 nucleotides) under Olea europaea subsp. europaea. Lineage: Eukaryota; Viridiplantae; Streptophyta; Magnoliopsida; Lamiales; Oleaceae. The record is from RNAcentral.
CUUAAUAGUGCUGGCUGCCUAAUUAUUAAAUUAAAAAAAAGGCAUAAAAAGCAACCCUAUCCGGUUCGGCUCGAAAAGGCCCGAGCCGAAAGCUCGAGUCGAAUCUAAUUUUUAUGGUCGAACUUUUACUCGGUUCGGCUCGGACUCGAAAAAAAAUCAGCACAUUUUACCCAAGCCCGAGCCAAGAGUUUCGACUUGUAAGCUGACUCGACUCGACUCGUUGACAUCGUACCACCACCUCCACACACAACUCCAACCACCGCCACUUACUAGAUUCCACUAUUUCUUCCGGCCAUCGCCAUCACCGACCACCACACAUAUCAUCGCUGCCACCCCCAAAAACUUUUUGCUCCAACUACCACCCACCACCUUCACCUGCAACUCCAAUCAACAAUCGCACUACUACAACCAUCGCCUACUAAAAUCCAUCAUUUCUUCCAACAUUACCAUACCCAUAGAAAUCACGCAAUCACAUAUCAGAAAACCACCCUCCCAAAACGGUGCCACGCAGCGUUGGAGAGAAGUCACCGGAGAAGAGAAUUAAUGUUGAAUAAAGAGAGAUCGUUCGAGUCGCCGUCGAAAAAAUGUGACGCAUCUCAAGUUAGCAACCAUUUGGAAAAUCCCCAAACGACCGCACCACCACACUAACCAGAG